GCCUAAGUGGCUCAGUCGGUUAAGCAUCUGACUUCAGCUCAGGUCAUGGUCUCACAGUUCUUGGGUUCAAGCCCCGUGUUGGGCU
This 85-nucleotide transfer RNA is filed under the name Felis catus (domestic cat). It matches the Rfam family "tRNA". From Rfam's summary of the family: Transfer RNA (tRNA) molecules are approximately 80 nucleotides in length. Their secondary structure includes four short double-helical elements and three loops (D, anti-codon, and T loops). The record is from Rfam by way of RNAcentral. RNAcentral also lists the same sequence under 1 other name. Lineage: Eukaryota; Metazoa; Chordata; Mammalia; Carnivora; Felidae.